UACGUAGGGGGCAAGCGUUAUCCGGAUUUACUGGGUGUAAAGGGAGCGUAGACGGCAGUGCAAGUCUGGAGUGAAAGGCGCGGGCUCAACCCGCGGACGGCACAUGAUACUGCGAGACUAGAGUAAUGGAGGGGGAACCGGAAUUCUCGGUGUAGCAGUGAAAUGCGUAGAUAUCGAGAGGAACACUCGUGGCGAAGGCGGGUUCCUGGACAUUAACUGACGCUGAGGCACGAAGGCCAGGGGAGCGAAAGGG
RNAcentral lists this ribosomal RNA (253 nucleotides) under uncultured Akkermansia sp. Its description in RNAcentral is "partial 16S ribosomal RNA". It matches the Rfam family "Bacterial small subunit ribosomal RNA", at positions 524 to 776 of the family's 1533-position model. The record is from RNAcentral. Lineage: Bacteria; Pseudomonadati; Verrucomicrobiota; Verrucomicrobiia; Verrucomicrobiales; Akkermansiaceae.